CCAGACCACCAGCUAAGGUCCCCAAUGUCGUACUAAGUGGAAAAGGAUGUGGGGUUUCAUAAACAACCAGGAUGUUGGCUCAGAAGCAGCCACCAUUUAAAGAGUGCGUAAUAGCUCACUGGUCGAGAGACCCUGCGCCGAAGAUUCCCGGGGCUAAAGUACGAAACCGAAGCUGUGGCUGUAUACGUAAAGUAUACGGGGUAGGGGAGCGUUCCCAUAGGGUAGAAGUCGAACUGGAAGGUUCGGUGGACUUGUGGGAAGUGAGAAUGUUGGUAUGAGUAGCGAAAAGAAAGGUGAGAAUCCUUUCCACCGAAAGCAUAAGGAUUCCUGAGCAACGAUCGUCGUCUCAGGGUAAGUCGGGACCUAAUCCGAGGCAGAGAGCGUAGGAGAUGGACAACUGGUUGAUAUUCCAGUACCGGUAGUAAUUGUUUGAGCAAUGGAGUGACACAGAAGGGCAGGCAAGCAUGCGAAUGGAAGAGCAUGUGUAAGCGUGUAGGGUGGUGCAUAGGCAAAUCCGUGCACUGAAAGCCUGAGGCGUGAUGCGGAGUGAGCAGAGAUGCGAGCGAAGUUGUUGACCCCACACUGUCGAGAAAAGCUUCUAGUGAGAGAGCUACCGCCCGUACCGUAAACCGACACAGGUAGGCGGGGAGAGAAUCCUAAGGUGCGCGGGAGAACCCUCGUUAAGGAACUCGGCAAAAUGUACCCGUAACUUCGGGAUAAGGGUAGCCACUGUUGUGAAGUCCCAUGCGGAUGGAGCAUAGAGUGGUCGCAGAGAAGAGGCCCAAGCGACUGUUUACCACAAACACAGGUGCCUGCUAAAGCGAAAGCUGACGUAUAGGUGCUGACACCUGCCCAGUGCCGGAAGGUUAAGGAAGGAUGUUCGGAUUAGUCCAAAGCAUUCGACUGAAGCCCCGGUGAACGGCGGCCGUAACUAUAACGGUCCUAAGGUAGCGAAAUUCCUUGUCGGGUAAGUUCCGACCCGCACGAAAGGUGUAACGACUUGGGCACUGUCUCAACGAGGGACCCGGUGAAAUUGAAGUACCUGUGAAGAUGCAGGUUACCCGCGACUGGACAGAAAGACCCCAUGGAGCUUUACUGUAACCUGACAUUGGGUUUUGAUACAUUACGUACAGGAUAGGUGGGAGGCAUGGAAAGCUGGACGCUAGUCUGGCUGGAGCCGCCGUUGGGAUACCACCCUUGAUGUAUUGAAAUUCUAACCGCGAGAGUAACGAAAUCCGGGACAGUGUCAGGCGGGCAGUUUGACUGGGGCGGUCGCCUCCGAAAGAGUAACGGAGGCGCCCAAAGGUUCCCUCAGCGCGGCCGGAAAUCGCGCGAAGAGUGUAAAGGCAGAAGGGAGCUUGACUGCGAGUCAAACACGACGAGCAGGUACGAAAGUAGGGCUUAGUGAUCCGGUGGUACCGAGUGGAAGGGCCAUCGCUCAACGGAUAAAAGCUACCCUGGGGAUAACAGGCU
This 1473-nucleotide ribosomal RNA is filed under the name wastewater metagenome. RNAcentral describes it as "bacterial LSU rRNA". It matches the Rfam family "Bacterial large subunit ribosomal RNA", at positions 1027 to 2483 of the family's 2925-position model. The record is from RNAcentral.